GUAGGGGGCAAGCGUUGUCCGGAUUCAUUGGGGCGUAAAGCGCGUGUAGGCGGUUCAAUAGGUCCGAUGUGAAAACUCGAGGCUCAACUUCGAGAGGGCCAUCGGAAACCAUUGGACUAGAGUCCGGAAGAGGAGAGUGGAAUUCCUGGUGUAGCGGUGAAAUGCGCAGAUAUCAGGAGGAACACCGAUGGCGAAGGCAGCUCUCUGGGACGGUACUGACGCUGAGACGCGAAAGCGUGGGGAGCGAACAGGAUUAGAUACCCUGGUAGUCCACGCCGUAAACGAUGGGCACUAGGUGUGGGUGGUGUCGACUCCAUCCGUGCCGCAGCUAACGCAUUAAGUGCCCCGCCUGGGGAGUACGGCCGCAAAGGCUAA
RNAcentral lists this ribosomal RNA (375 nucleotides) under uncultured organism. RNAcentral describes it as "partial 16S ribosomal RNA". It matches the Rfam family "Bacterial small subunit ribosomal RNA", at positions 527 to 897 of the family's 1533-position model. The record is from RNAcentral.